CACCCAUGUCUUUUGCGCACUUGUUGUUUCCUGGGCGGGUUCGCCCGCCACCAGGACCAAACCAUAAACCUUUUUUUUUUAUGCAGUUACCAUCAGCGUCAGUAAAAACAAUGUAAUUAUUACAACUUUCAACAACGGAUCUCUUGGUUCUGGCAUCGAUGAAGAACGCAGCGAAAUGCGAUACGUAGUGUGAAUUGCAAAAUUCAGUGAAUCAUCGAAUCUUUGAACGCACAUUGCGCCCUUUGGUAUUCCAAAGGGCAUGCCUGUUCGAGCGUCAUUUGUACCUUCAAGCUUUGCUUGGUGUUGGGCGUUUUUGUCUCUCUUUCUGCGAGACUCGCCUUAAAACGAUUGGCAGCCGGCCUACUGGUUUCGGAGCGCAGCACAUAUUUUGCACUUUGGAUCAGGAGAAAAGGACGGUAAUCCAUCAAGACUCUACAUUUUUAACUUUUGACCUCGGAUCAGGUA
This 465-nucleotide ribosomal RNA is filed under the name Bipolaris urochloae. Its description in RNAcentral is "eukaryotic LSU rRNA". The stretch from base 124 to 277 matches the Rfam family "5.8S ribosomal RNA". Lineage: Eukaryota; Fungi; Ascomycota; Dothideomycetes; Pleosporales; Pleosporaceae. The record is from RNAcentral.